UGUCCUCUGAUUUUCUACUACUUCUUCAUGCUGAUUGUGUCCACAGAAUGAACAGAAAUUGGUAUGGAUAAACUGUAAGCUAAAGAGCGGUGGAAAAAAGGGACUGGAGGGCACGGCCAAACUAAAUCGACGAGGUGGAGUUGCUGGCAUGUGACGUCAGUCCACGACACCACCGUGAAGUUAGCUCCAGGGACAUGAGGCCUUUGAUGGUAUUAUAUACAGACACGUCAAACUUAUAAAUGGGUUAGUAGCUUUUGCAUAAUCUUGAGCCUGUACAAAGUAUUUUUUCAGCAAUUA
Long non-coding RNA from Venturia canescens, 297 nucleotides. RefSeq lists it as uncharacterized. The transcript is spliced from 3 exons. The record is from RefSeq and is a predicted model, not a curated record. NCBI's taxonomy places the organism in Eukaryota, Metazoa, Arthropoda, Insecta, Hymenoptera, Ichneumonidae.